RNAcentral lists this ribosomal RNA (640 nucleotides) under uncultured bacterium. RNAcentral's name for it is "bacterial SSU rRNA". The stretch from base 1 to 544 matches the Rfam family "Bacterial small subunit ribosomal RNA", at positions 338 to 873 of the family's 1533-position model. The record is from RNAcentral.
CCUACGGGAGGCAGCAGUGGGGAAUUUUGGACAAUGGGCGCAAGCCUGAUCCAGCAAUGCCGCGUGCAGGAUGAAGGCCUUCGGGUUGUAAACUGCUUUUGUACGGAACGAAAAGGUUGUCUCUAAUAAAGACGGCUCAUGACGGUACCGUAAGAAUAAGCACCGGCUAACUACGUGCCAGCAGCCGCGGUAAUACGUAGGGUGCGAGCGUUAAUCGGAAUUACUGGGCGUAAAGCGUGCGCAGGCGGUGAUGUAAGACAGAUGUGAAAUCCCCGGGCUCAACCUGGGACCUGCAUUUGUGACUGCAUCGCUAGAGUACGGUAGAGGGGGAUGGAAUUCCGCGUGUAGCAGUGAAAUGCGUAGAUAUGCGGAGGAACACCGAUGGCGAAGGCAAUCCCCUGGACCUGUACUGACGCUCAUGCACGAAAGCGUGGGGAGCAAACAGGAUUAGAUACCCUGGUAGUCCACGCCCUAAACGAUAUCACUGUUGUUGGUAGUUACUACUUCUUCAGUAACGAAGACUACGACGUGAGUUAGUACCGCCGUCGGGAGGUACGGCCGGCGAGGUUAGUAAACGUUAAAGGUAAAGUUAGUACGGCGUAGAGACGUAGACCGACGGACGACGACGAGGGGAGGAGGG